GAGCAAUUAUGGUUAAGCUACUAAGAGCACACGGAGGAUGCCUAGGCGCUAGGAGCCGAUGAAGGACGUGGCGAACAACGAAACUGCCUCGGGGAGCUGUAAGCAAGCUUUGAUCCGGGGGUGUCCGAAUGGGGAAACCCAGCUGGGGUAAUUUCCAGUUACUCACAACUGAAUACAUAGGUUGUGUAGAGGCAUACCAAGGGAACUGAAACAUCUAAGUACCUUGAGGAAGAGAAAACAAUAGUGAUUCCGUCAGUAGCGGCGAGCGAACGCGGAGAAGCCCAAACCAGAGAGCUUGCUCUUUGGGGUUGUGGGACGUCUCACAUGGAGUUACAAAGGAACCGGUUAAGUGAAGAGGUCUGGAAAGGCCCGCCAAAGAAGGUAAAAGCCCUGUA
Molecule: ribosomal RNA, 395 nt
Filed under: Salmonella enterica
Lineage: Bacteria; Pseudomonadati; Pseudomonadota; Gammaproteobacteria; Enterobacterales; Enterobacteriaceae
Description: partial 23S ribosomal RNA
Rfam family: Bacterial large subunit ribosomal RNA
Source: RNAcentral